GACGAACGCUGGCGGCGCGCUUAACACAUGCAAGUCGAGCGAUGAAACUUUAACAGAACCCUUCGGUGCGGAGACAAAGUGGAUUAGCGGCGGACGGUUGAGUACCCCUUGAUUAACCUGCCUUACACAUAGGUAUAGCUUCGGGAAACCGGGAUUACUACCAACUAAAAUCAUAAUGACACAUGUCAUAACGUGCAAAACUCCGGUGGUCUAAGAUGGACUUUCGUCCCGUUAGCUAGUUGGUAGAGUAAAAGCCUACCAAGGCGACGAUGGGUAGCCGGCAUGAUAGGGUGACCGGUCACAUUGGAGCUGAGAAACAGUCCAAACUGCUACGGGAGGCAGCAGUGGGGAAUAUUGCACAAUGGAGGGAAAUCUGAUGCAGCGGCGCCGCGUGAACGAAGAAGGCUUUCGAGUCGUAAAGUUGUUUUAUAUGGGGAGAUAAUGACGGUACCAGAAGAAAAAGCCCCGGCUAACUACGUG
Molecule: ribosomal RNA, 480 nt
Filed under: uncultured bacterium
Lineage: Bacteria
Description: partial 16S ribosomal RNA
Rfam family: Bacterial small subunit ribosomal RNA
Source: RNAcentral